GAUUUCUGGUUAGAUUUGCCUGUCCCGCCACGGUAACGUGUGUGAGUGACGGUGUGAAUCGGCCAUCCUUCUAGAUUCUCCCCUUAGGUGCAAACUUGGGGGGCAGGUCUAGAUCGAUUACUUUGAAUAAAUUAGAGUGUUUCAAGCAGGCAUAUUGCUAUGAAUACAUUAGCAUGGAAUAAUAAUUUAGGACUUCGGUUUUAUUUUGUUGGUUUCUAGGACUGAAGUAAUGAUUGAUAGGGACAGUUGGGGGUGCUAGUAUUCAGUAAGAAAGGGUGAAAUCUUUGGAUUUACUGAAGACUAACUUAUGCGAAAGCAUU
RNAcentral lists this ribosomal RNA (320 nucleotides) under uncultured Dujardina. RNAcentral's name for it is "SSU rRNA". It matches the Rfam family "Eukaryotic small subunit ribosomal RNA", at positions 633 to 955 of the family's 1831-position model. The record is from RNAcentral. Lineage: Eukaryota; Cercozoa; Glissomonadida.